This 187-nucleotide ribosomal RNA is filed under the name uncultured bacterium. RNAcentral describes it as "partial 16S ribosomal RNA". It matches the Rfam family "Bacterial small subunit ribosomal RNA", at positions 1306 to 1500 of the family's 1533-position model. The record is from RNAcentral.
UGCAACCCGACUCCGUGAAGCUGGAUUCGCUAGUAAUCGCGCAUCAGCCAUGGCGCGGUGAAUACGUUCCCGGGCCUUAUACACACCGCCCGUCAAGCCAUGGAAGCCGGGGGUGCCUGAAGUGUGCAGCCGCAAGGAGCGCCCUAAGGUAAAACCGGUGACUGGGGCUAAGUCGUAACAAGGUAAC